Molecule: ribosomal RNA, 923 nt
Filed under: Succinivibrio dextrinosolvens
Lineage: Bacteria; Pseudomonadati; Pseudomonadota; Gammaproteobacteria; Aeromonadales; Succinivibrionaceae
Description: bacterial SSU rRNA
Rfam family: Bacterial small subunit ribosomal RNA
Source: RNAcentral
GCUUGCUUUUCCUGAUGACGAGUGGCGGACGGGUGAGUAAAGUUUGGGAAGCUACCUGAUAGAGGGGGACAACAGUUGGAAACGACUGCUAAUACCGCAUACAGCCUGAGGGUGAAAGCAGCAAUGCGCUAUCAGAUGCGCCCAAAUGGGAUUAGCUAGUAGGUGAGGUAAAGGCUCACCUAGGCGACGAUCUCUAGCUGGUCUGAGAGGAUGAUCAGCCACAUUGGGACUGAGACACGGCCCAGACUCCUACGGGAGGCAGCAGUAGGGAAUAUUGCACAAUGGAGGAAACUCUGAUGCAGCCAUGCCGCGUGUGUGAAGAAGGCCUUCGGGUUGUAAAGCACUUUCGGAGGGGAGGAGAAUGACGUUACCCUCAGAAGAAGCACCGGCUAACUCCGUGCCAGCAGCCGCGGUAAUACGGAGGGUGCAAGCGUUAAUCGGAAUAACUGGGCGUAAAGGGCAUGCAGGCGGUUAAACAAGUAGGAUGUGAAAUCCCCGGGCUCAACCUGGGAGCUGCAUACUAAACUGUUUAACUAGAGUAUUGCAGGGGGAGACGGAAUUCCAGGUGUAGCGGUGGAAUGCGUAGAUAUCUGGAAGAACACCAAAGGCGAAGGCAGUCUCCUGGGCAAAUACUGACGCUCAUAUGCGAAAGCGUGGGUAGCAAACAGGAUUAGAUACCCUGGUAGUCCACGCCGUAAACGAUGUCAAUUAGGAGCUUGUGCGAUAGUAUGGGUUCCGCAGCAAACGCGAUAAAUUGACCGCCUGGGGAGUACGGCCGCAAGGUUAAAACUCAAAUGAAUUGACGGGGGCCCGCACAAGCGGUGGAGCAUGUGGUUUAAUUCGACGCAACGCGAAGAACCUUACCUGACCUUGACAUAGUGAGAACCUCUCUGAAGGGAGAGGGUGCCUUCGGGAGCUCACAU